ACAAUGGAGAGUUUGAUCCUGGCUCAGGAUGAACGCUAGCGGCAGGCUUAAUACAUGCAAGUCGAGGGGCAGCACGGGUAGCAAUACCUGGUGGCGACCGGCAAACGGGUGCGGAACACGUACGCAA
This 127-nucleotide ribosomal RNA is filed under the name Bacteroidota bacterium. RNAcentral describes it as "Bacteroidetes bacterium (activated sludge metagenome) partial 16S ribosomal RNA". It matches the Rfam family "Bacterial small subunit ribosomal RNA", at positions 1 to 124 of the family's 1533-position model. The record is from RNAcentral. Lineage: Bacteria; Pseudomonadati; Bacteroidota.